This 382-nucleotide long non-coding RNA is filed under the name Androctonus crassicauda. Lineage: Eukaryota; Metazoa; Arthropoda; Arachnida; Scorpiones; Buthidae. The record is from RNAcentral.
AGGGGUGUACGUUGGCAGAAUGGGCAAUGCACAUCAGAAAUUAUAUUUCUAGUAGGAUCAUCCAGGACAAGAACGCUGUUCCAUUAUGCUCAACUAAAUGCUAGCAGGUAUCUCUACUUGGGUGGUGUUUUAUUAUUAUACAAUGAAACAAAACAGAAAACAAAAGCAUACCGGCUCGGACAUUGCCUGGGUUAACAAGGUCCGCGUUUGUGAGUUAUGCAGAGGCUUGCAUUCGGAAAGUUCACUACAAUCUCUCUUGGCCACUGGUGGCGAAAGCAGCACCAACCCAAGUCUGGCUGCUACAAUAUACAUACCCACAGUAGGCGACGAGUCACCACAUCAGAGUCCAACCAGCCAAAAUGUUUCCCGGGCAACUCAGCCA